CGCCGCCUGCGGCGCGUCCUGACCUGCGGCAUCUGGCCGCCGCUCCGCUUUGCGCCGUUUGCCAGCUUUGGCGGCUCCGCUGCUCCGCAGCACCCGGCUCCGGCAGCACCCCGUAGAUGUAAAGCCUUUGACAAAAAACCGGGAGCGCUGCUGAAUCGAUCGCAGCAGAAAGUGCUGAAGCGGCAUCGCGGCAGUUCCGACCGACGCAGCCCAGUGAGUCACUGGAGCUGAAAACAUGAACAGGACUGCUGACUUCUGAAACAAGACAAACACUCAGGAUCGCUGCCCGGGAGCGGCGCUUUUCACAUCAGCCUCAUUGGCGGCUUUCCCCCCCUCCUCCUCCUCCUCCGCGGCCGCCGCCGCCGCCGCUGCUGCAUUCCCACCGCAGUGCUCCGGCCGCCGAGUAAAACACGCUAUGAAUAGCAUCCAUAUCAGAUGCGCAGAAAUCCACGGCAAAGCCCAGGGGGCAGGAAUGUACUACGCUGAAGUGAGCGUACAGAGCAUUAUCGUUUAGCACAAAUGUGACCUCUUCUUUUUGUCUUUCUUUUUUUUUGCAAACCCGUCCUCCCUCUCAAAUAAAACUGAUUUGUUUA
This is a long non-coding RNA of Brienomyrus brachyistius, 593 nucleotides long. RefSeq lists it as uncharacterized. Lineage: Eukaryota; Metazoa; Chordata; Actinopteri; Osteoglossiformes; Mormyridae. The record is from RefSeq and is a predicted model, not a curated record. The transcript is spliced from 2 exons.